This 131-nucleotide non-coding RNA is filed under the name unclassified sequences. RNAcentral describes it as "xerDC RNA". It matches the Rfam family "xerDC RNA". The record is from RNAcentral.
GGCUCCCCGCCGGAAGGGGCCAUAAGACGCGCGUGGCUUUUGCCACAGCCGGAUACUUCGGCCAUGCGUCUGCCGUGGGGCCAAGGGCCCCGGCUUAUCAUCGAAAGCGAACACGGCGUAGAUUACUCAAC